RNAcentral lists this ribosomal RNA (505 nucleotides) under uncultured bacterium. RNAcentral's name for it is "bacterial SSU rRNA". It matches the Rfam family "Bacterial small subunit ribosomal RNA", at positions 28 to 525 of the family's 1533-position model. The record is from RNAcentral.
GACGAACGCUGGCGGCGUGGAUUAGGCAUGCAAGUCGAACGGUAUCAUCCUUUCGGGGGUGAGAGAGUGGCGAACUGGUGAGUAACACGUAGGUUAUCUACCCUCAAGACGGGGACAACCCAGGGAAACUUGGGCUAAUACCGGAUGUGAGCAACUUUUAGUUGUUUGAAAGGUGGCGUAAGCUGUCGCUUGGGGAUGAGCCUGCGUCCUAUUAGUUAAUUGGUGAGGUAACGGCUCACCUAGGCAAUGAUAGGUAGGCGGCCUUAACGGGUGGUCGCCCACACUGGGAUUGAGAUACGGCCCAGACUCCUACGGGAGGCAGCAGUCGAGAAUAGUCUACAAUGGUCGGAAGACUGAUAGUGCGACGCCGCGUGAACGAUGAAUCCCUUCGGGGUGUAAAGUUCUUUUAUAUGUGAGCAGUGCUUCUUAUAUUAACAGUAUGGGGAGAGAGAUAUUAGCAUAUGAAUAAGCAACGGCUAACUCCGUGCCAGCAGCCGCGGUAAUA